The sequence is a ribosomal RNA, 524 nucleotides long. It matches the Rfam family "Bacterial large subunit ribosomal RNA", at positions 1 to 517 of the family's 2925-position model.
AGAUUAAGUUAUUAAGGGCGCACGGUGGAUGCCUUGGCACUAGAAGCCGAUGAAGGACGUUACUAACGACGAUAUGCUUUGGGGAGCUGUAAGUAAGCUUUGAUCCAGAGAUUUCCGAAUGGGGAAACCCAGCAUGAGUUAUGUCAUGUUAUCGAUAUGUGAAUACAUAGCAUAUCAGAAGGCACACCCGGAGAACUGAAACAUCUUAGUACCCGGAGGAAGAAAAAGAAAAUUCGAUUCCCUUAGUAGCGGCGAGCGAAACGGGAAGAGCCCAAACCAACAAGCUUGCUUGUUGGGGUUGUAGGACACUCUAUACGGAGUUACAAAGGACGACAUUAGACGAAUCAUCUGGAAAGAUGAAUCAAAGAAGGUAAUAAUCCUGUAGUCGAAAAUGUUGUCUCUCUUGAGUGGAUCCUGAGUACGACGGAACACGUGAAAUUCCGUCGGAAUCUGGGAGGACCAUCUCCUAAGGCUAAAUACUCUCUAGUGACCGAUAGUGAACCAGUACCGUGAGGGAAAGGUGA